GCAGCUAUUCAUUUUCUUUCCUUUCACAUCUCCAAGUCUCAACUGCUAUGCGGGGGCUGCAUCUCUCUUGCUCGCUCUCAUCACUUCUUUUGGCUUCCGAAUCAAAAUCCCUCUUUAUCUUAUCAAUCUUCAACAUCUUUUUCUGAAUCUUUAACUUCUCAAUCCGAUUUUAAUCUGUCGUUCGUAUUCUAUUUAUGUUUUCGAAAUUGAUAUGUUAUAAAUCUCAACUGGAUUCGAGUUUUAAUGCUAUCUACGUGAUACUGUGCCUUGUAUACUAUGUUUUGGAUAAUCUGGGCACUUGUAUAUGAUCGCUUUUGCAGGUAAUAAUAAAGAGAGGCAUCUCAUUUGAUCUCUUGGCAAGCACACCGAAUAUGUAAGAGCACAAAAAUUUCGGGUCAUUUCUGGUCGUGUUGGGUAACCCGAAAUAAAUCCGAGUCGUGUUCGGGUUAGAUACCUGUACGCGUAAAAUUUUCGGGUCAAAUUCGGAUUGGAUAAAACAUACUACGCGAAUGUUGACCCGACACGAACCCGACCCACAACCCAUUAUUGCCUGCCUAAUUCCUACCCCGUUUGCAUCUUUCAUCCCCUCGUCGGCUCUUCUUCGCCUGGGUUUUCUUCCAACCGGGCUGUGGGCCAUAUCUUCUCCUGGGCUUAAGGCCCAACAAAGUUUAAAAUUCAGUCAAGCCCCCUCUGCUCUCACCUGGAUCACUUCGAAAGGCCUUGUCCAAGUAAGCCAUUAUUUAUUCCACAUGGCGUGUCUCUCGUGAGGAUUAAUACUCUAACCUGGUUAAAGAUAUCAGCAAUCAGACAAGUCUUGUCUCUUUUCCUCUGGGUUCGAUUCCACAAAUGGAAGUUUUGCUUUGUGUGAGUGUUACCAUUAUGCUGCGUGGCAUUUCCGGGAGGGCAUGGAGGCGUCGGACCAGAACAGGGUAUUGCAUCAGAUCAGGCCUGCAUGUUGAUUGACAUCUUUUGGUUCUUUGGGUUUACGUGACUCAUAUUGGUUUUAGUAAUAUGGUCUUAAUUGUGAACUUCCAAAUGGUAUCCAUCCAUUCAUUGCUAUUUAAAAUUUACAAUUUGGGUUCGGGUGAAUGAAUUUGGAGGAACUCCCUUCCUCCUAACAAGUCCUUCAAGCAUCUCCGCGGCAGAUUAGCUAUGUGAUAUCCUGAGCUAUAAUUUUAGGGAAUAUGCACAAACAUUUACUUUAGCAGAGUCCCUGUUCAUUUCAAGGAUCCAUUUUCAUUCCUCGUAAACACAGGGUGGUGCUACGGGUCCCAAUUAACUCUGGCCUCGAUGGUGGUUCUGCAGAUGAUCUAGCACAUAGAAGGCCGGUGUUGUCAGACAUCUAGGUUCUCUCUCAUGCUUGAGGCAAUAGCAGAAACUCUCUCAUGCUGAAAAUACAUUCAUUUGAGGGUGGUGCUAGGGGAACUCUGGCCCUGAUGGUGGUUCUGCAGAUGAUCUGGCACAUAGAAGGCCAGUGUUGUCAGAAAUCUGGGUUCUCUCUCAUGCUUGAGGCAAUAGCAGAAACUUUCUCGUGCUGAAAAUACAUUCAUUUGAGGAGGGUGCCAAAAGUUGGCAAUUUUGCUUGGCACUCCUUCCACUCCAAUGGAGAGCCAACAAGAGUGUCAUGUCACAUUAUGACACAUGGCACUUUAGCACUCUUUUUCGCAGCUUUUUGGAGUUUGUGGGAUUUGUGGCACCGCAGCUUUUGCCUGAGAAGUCUCCUUGUGCAAAGGAUCAACUGAGGCAGCUUUUCAGGAUGUUUGAUCCAGAUGGAAAUGGAUUUAUUACCGUGGGAGAGUUGGCUCUACUUGGUCAUGCGUCGACUGCUGAGGAGUUGAGAGGGGUGAUUAGAGAAGCUGAUACUGAUGGAGAUGGCAGGAUUAGUUUUCAGGAGUUUUCACUAGCUACAACUUCAGCUGCUUUUGAUAAUUAUUGGAUUUGAUUCUUACAUGCUGCAACUUUUUAACAUUUCAGGUAUGUUUAUUGUAAUCUUUUGAAACAAAUCCACUCUAUCUUGUGAUCGUUUGUAUGUGCUGCAUUCUGAUUUUAGAGUUGGUGGUUCAAAAAAUUGUUCAGAAUCAGAUUUUAAGUUUUGUAACUUUUGUUGCAUCGGUGGCUCCCGUAAAAUAUUGUUAACAUAUUAGAUUUGAUAAUUUAUUUGCUCAAAUAUUGUACUGGAACUCAUCCAUCACCUCUCACAAAUUGAUUCUAA
This is a long non-coding RNA of Daucus carota subsp. sativus, 2212 nucleotides long. RefSeq lists it as uncharacterized. The transcript has 4 exons. The record is from RefSeq and is a predicted model, not a curated record. NCBI's taxonomy places the organism in Eukaryota, Viridiplantae, Streptophyta, Magnoliopsida, Apiales, Apiaceae.